This 413-nucleotide ribosomal RNA is filed under the name uncultured prokaryote. Its description in RNAcentral is "bacterial SSU rRNA". It matches the Rfam family "Bacterial small subunit ribosomal RNA", at positions 505 to 918 of the family's 1533-position model. The record is from RNAcentral.
GUGUCAGCAGCCGCGGUAAGACGAACCGUGCAAACGUUAUUCGGAAUCACUGGGCUUAAAGGGCGCGUAGGCGGGUGAUCAAGUCAAUGGUGAAAUCCUCCAGCUUAACUGGAGAAGUGCCUUUGAUACUGAUUGUCUAGAGGGAGGUAGGGGCAUGUGGAACUUCAGGUGGAGCGGUGAAAUGCGUAGAUAUCUGAAGGAACGCCAGUGGCGAAAGCGAUGUGCUGGACCUCUUCUGACGCUGAGGCGCGAAAGCUAGGGGAUCAAACGGGAUUAGAUACCCCGGUAGUCCUAGCCCUAAACUAUGGGUACUAGAUUGUGGACUUUCAUGGGUUCACAGUCGAAGCAAAAGUGUUAAGUACCCCGCCUGGGGAGUAUGGUCGCAAGGCUGAAACUCAAAUGAAUUGACGGGG